Long non-coding RNA from Canis lupus familiaris (dog), 663 nucleotides. RefSeq lists it as uncharacterized. The record is from RefSeq and is a predicted model, not a curated record. Lineage: Eukaryota; Metazoa; Chordata; Mammalia; Carnivora; Canidae. The transcript has 4 exons.
AGGAGCAGUGGCGGUAGGGAUGGGCAGUGAAAUAGUGAGCCAACAGGUGAAAUGAGAAUAGAAAGAUCUCAGGAAGGUUGCAGGCUGCAGGCAGCUCACACAUAGACCACCGGUUCUGUCGUGGAGAAAAAGUAGGAGAACUGUACUCAGAUUUCGGCUGCUUCCCAGCACUUGAUUGCUCAUAUUUAUGGUCACAGAUCUGAUUUUUUCAGGGAAAAAUGGGAAUCCCAAAGCAAACUGUUAAUAUUCUUCCCUACAGCUCAAUCUCUGCCUCCUGCCCUCCACAAGAGAGCGCUGGGUUUCUCAGGACAGGUCUCAACCAGCACCCAGGGCGACAGGAUAAGACAGGACGUGACCACUAGAGGGAAGCAGGGAGGCCCUUAUGCUUCAUGUUUCUGGGGGAUUCAAAUUUGUGUUGGUUUUAAGGCCAUCAUUUUAAAGACACUUUCAUCCAAGAGAUACACUUGAUCGUGAGUGGAUGGUGCCAAAGAAAACCGUGCUCUGCGAACCAUCAGGACACCUCAUUUCCAGCUCAACAGGCCUGGUCUGAUAUCAGCAGAAAUAUUAUCACCAAUCCUCUGGUUGGAUGAAGGAUGGGAAAACACAGUCUCACAGAGAGAGAGAGAGAGGCCGAGACACAGGCAGAGGGAGAAGCAGGCUCCA